Molecule: long non-coding RNA, 576 nt
Filed under: Homo sapiens (human)
Lineage: Eukaryota; Metazoa; Chordata; Mammalia; Primates; Hominidae
Description: HSALNT0070519
Source: RNAcentral
CAUUAAACACUAGAACUGGUUGCCAAGGGAGUUUAUGGAAUCUUCCUCCCUGGAGAGAAAAAAAAAUCCUGAGGAGCUAGAUAUACAUCUGCCUAAGAGGUUUAGGUGAAGCUAUGCCUAGCACAAAUUGGGGCAUUUAUACUGGGAAAAAAAACAAAUGAACUCUUAAGUUAUCAGCAUUAGUAUCAUUUAAAGAACAAGGCUGAAAAAAGAGAUUAAUGGACAAAUUGAAAAACAGAGAGCACAGGCUCCAACUGAGCUCUAAAUUAGGAGAUGAAGAACUAUUCAGCUUAAACAGCCACAGAAGUAGAAGAAAAGCAAAUGGGCCCAAAUGUUAUGAGGUGUUCCAGUUCUUCUCAAUGGUCCCAACACAUGUAGCUCUGCACCCUCCCCCUGCCCCAAGGUAAUAGGUCUAUUUAUUGAGCUAAUUGUGCCUCUGGAUAAAACAUACAUGUGAGAAAUGGGAGGAAAACAGUAUAAAGACAAAAAUCUACAUGUAGUCUAGAACAAAGAGACAGAGAACACAUGGUAGGUGACAAUUUGAGAAACUUCAGCUAAUAAAAGAUUUAACUUACU